Molecule: ribosomal RNA, 301 nt
Filed under: uncultured bacterium
Lineage: Bacteria
Description: partial 16S ribosomal RNA
Rfam family: Bacterial small subunit ribosomal RNA
Source: RNAcentral
CAGUAGCCGCGGGAAUACGUAGGGUGCAAGCGUUAAUCGGAAUUACUGGGCGUAAAGCGUGCGCAGGCGGUUUGUUAGGACAGAUGUGAAAUCCCCGGGCUCAACCUGGGAACUGCAUUUGUGACUGGCAAGCUAGAGUGUGGCAGAGGGGGGUGGAAUUCCGCGUGUAGCAGUGAAAUGCGUAGAUAUGCGGAGGAACACCGAUGGCGAAGGCAGCCCCCUGGGCCAACACUGACGCUCAUGCACGAAAGCGUGGGGAGCAAAUAGGAUUAGAUACCCCAGUAGUCCCUGUCUCUUAUAA